AAUCAACGCUGGCGGCGUGCCUCAGACAUGCAAGUCGAACGAUUAAAGCUCUCUUCGGAGAGUGUAUAGAGUGGCGCACGGGUGAGUAACACGUAAGUAAUCUACCUUUGAGUGGGGAAUAACAGUCGGAAACGACUGCUAAUACCGCAUAAUGCAGCGGCAUCGCAAGAUGACAGUUGUUAAAGGAGCAAUCCGCUUAAAGAGGAGCUUGCGGCAGA
RNAcentral lists this ribosomal RNA (218 nucleotides) under uncultured bacterium. RNAcentral describes it as "partial 16S ribosomal RNA". It matches the Rfam family "Bacterial small subunit ribosomal RNA", at positions 32 to 240 of the family's 1533-position model. The record is from RNAcentral.